Long non-coding RNA from Betta splendens (Siamese fighting fish), 2383 nucleotides. RefSeq lists it as uncharacterized. The transcript has 3 exons. The record is from RefSeq and is a predicted model, not a curated record. Lineage: Eukaryota; Metazoa; Chordata; Actinopteri; Anabantiformes; Osphronemidae.
UGUAAAUGUAAAUGUAAAUGUAAAUGUAAAUGUAAAUGUUGAAUGUUGAAUGUUAAAUGUUAAAUGUAAAUGUUAAAUGUUAAAUGUAAACGUUAAAUGAUCGAACUGAAUAUUUAAGUAGACUCCACCCUCUAUGAUUCUAGAUCAGUGACGCGGACUCAAACACCUCAAACAGUACACAUAGCUCCGCCCACAUCUGACCCUGGAUCGGUGGACGACACUACUGGAAAGAAGCCUGAAGUCGAAGCCAUCAUGGCCGCCAGCUCCGACUCCGUCCCGUUAGAGGAGAUUGAACGGGCUGUAACGGCAGGAUCAGACAGGUGCAGAUGCCUGCUUUGGCCAGAGGUGGUGCAAUGAGGAAGGUGUCGGGGUAGUGGAAUGAACUCAGUUGUUUCAAGAAGCUUAGUUGGACGAGUGAUGGUCUCAGGAAGUAAAGUGAAACAAGCCUCCAGGGUCCAGCAUCUUUCAGGUCUGUGGGUUCUGCUCCUCUGGAGCUGAAGGACGGACUUUAGGCUCCAAACCUCCGUCAGCCAGACAUCUGGUUCUCUGCCAGAACUGAUAUCAACCAUUAAUAUUACUUGUUUAGCUAAGACAUUCACCAGACAAUGUUCCCUGGAGCUUUCCCAUGUCACUGGCAUUCAUUACAAUUCAGACUUCCCAGAAUCGAGCAGAACAAACUUUUGUGUUGCCAGAACACAGUUUAAAGAGGGACAAACAAACUCUGACUGGUAUGAGCCACGAACUGAACCCUGUUUACAGAACAUUGAAGGUCUUUACUACUCUAUGAGGUUACGUAUGGUUUUAUAUUAUAGAUUCUACAAUAGUUAAUGUUUUAAGCUAAAAUGUAAUUCAAAUAUUAAUUUGAGGUCAUAAAUCAGAGUGUGGCUCAGUUUCAUUUUUCUGUAUUGAUACAGACGUGUUAUCAGUCUGGUGAUAAACAGAUGGGAGGAGUGUAAUAGAGUGGUUUCUGUCUCCCCCUAUUGUCCUGUUUAUUCUAUGGAUACGUUAUGUUUGGCCAGAACCUUGCUCCCUUUAAAGAGUCUACAUCUGCUCCACCUGCAGAGCUGCACACCUCCGUCUGUGAUGGUUUCAAUGUUGUCCUCCAUCCCAACCAAACGCUCCUCCCCAGGGUGCUGUCCCAUGUCCACCUUGACCAGUCUAUUGCUAACUCCACAUAGAGCUCAGUCUGGGCCCUGGCUAAAUACAUGCUACAUACCAGGGAGCUCUGGAGAACCCACCAGCUCUGGGUGGGUUCUGCUCCUGACCAGCUUGGCCAGUUGAUAAUGAAGCCUCCUGGUGGAGGUCAUUUACAGUCUGUCCCCAGUCGAGGACACCUGUACUCACUCCACUCAUUAAUUUUAUUUCUGCAACUGUAACGUCUCUACAUUGGCAUCACAGUGUCAUGAACCCUGUCUUAUUUGCUCUUUUUACAGUUUUAUUUUGUCAAUUCCUGUCUUUGUCUUGCCUGUUUUCUUCAUGUCCAGCUUUACUUCCGGUCACAUGAUUCAUCAGCUGUUUUCCAGCAUCCACUAGUGUAAGUCCUGCCGGUUGAUUUUGUUCCUGACCUCCCUGUGAUGACGCCCUAUUGGUGUUUUUUUGGAGUUGUGUGUUAUUUAGUGUGAUGUGUGCUUUUUGCUUCACCGUUUUCACCGCUUCACCGUUUCCUUUAGACUUUCUUAUUUUAUCAUUGCAAUUUGCUGCCAUUUGAAAUAUGUACAGUAGGUAUAUAGGUUAUAUGUGUUUUGCCCUGUUCUUAUCCUCCACCACCUACAGUUCAGACCAGAACAAAUGCACUUAAGGAGGUUGCAGUGCAUCACAGAGACUGGUUGAUUAAAUUACUCUGAGUCAAAGAGGCCGACAUGCACAGGCCUCCUCUCUGUCAGAACCACACACUGCACAGAGACAUGGAGGAACCAGAAUCCAGACUCCAAAUCCAGUAGAUGAGGUCCAGGGAAUCUGUUGUUGAAGGUGUAGAGGUGGACUCGUCUGUCAGACACGAUACCAGGUGACUGUGUCCACAUGCAUAUCUAUCCAUCCAUCCAUUUUCUACUGCUUUUUCCCAUUCGGGGUUGUAGGGGUGGAACCUAUCCCAGCGUGCUGAGGGCGAGAGGCGGGGUGCUCCCUGAACAGGUUGCCAGUCAAUUGGAGGGCCACCCAGAGACGGCAAUAGAGAGUAGCCAAUUAACCUAAUGCAUGUCUUUGGACUGUGGGAGGAAACUGGAGUCGGUCCAACAUGUUUUUUAUUUUGUUGUGCAAUGAAUAUUUGUUUAUACAUUGUUUAUUGAAGUAAUGUUAAAGAAGACCUGCAGUGUUUUUAUGCAAAUAAUCUACUGUAUUGUUUGCUUUUUUUUUGUUAUAUUAUUAUAUUAAACAGUGCUUUCAC